This 253-nucleotide ribosomal RNA is filed under the name uncultured bacterium. Its description in RNAcentral is "partial 16S ribosomal RNA". It matches the Rfam family "Bacterial small subunit ribosomal RNA", at positions 524 to 776 of the family's 1533-position model. The record is from RNAcentral.
UACGGGGGGAGCAAGCGUUGUUCGGAUUUACUGGGCGUAAAGAGCGCGCAGGCGGUCGUCCAAGUCGCGUGUGAAAGCCCCCGGCUCAACUGGGGAGGGUCACGCGAUACUGGUCGACUCGAAGGCAGGAGAGGGUAGUGGAAUUCCCGGUGUAGCGGUGAAAUGCGCAGAUAUCGGGAAGAACACCCGUGGCGAAGGCGGUUCUCUGGGACGGUACUGACGCUGAGACGCGAAAGCGUGGGGAGCGAACAGG